GAUGCAGAACGUAGCGAAAUGCGAUAAGUAAUGUGAAUUGCAGAAUUCAGUGAAUCAUCGAAUCUUUGAACGCACCUUGCGCCCUUUGGCUAUUCUGAAGGGCAUGCCUGUUUGAGUAUCAUGAACACCUCAACUCUCAUGGUUCGCCAUGAUGAGCUUGGACUUUGGGGGUCUUGCUGGCCUACGGUCGGCUCCUCUCAAAUGAAUCAGCUUGCCAGUGUUUGGUAGAGUCGCAGGUGUGAUAACUAUCUACGCUUGUGGUUUUCUGCCAGAUAACCUUCAGUGAUGGAGGUUCGCUGGAGCUUAUAAAUGUCUCUCCCCAGUGAGGACAGCUUUUUGAACGUUUGAUCUCAAAUCAGGUAGGACUACCCGCUGAACUUAAGCAUAUCAAUAAGCGGAGGA
Molecule: unclassified non-coding RNA, 402 nt
Filed under: soil metagenome
Description: partial contains 5.8S ribosomal RNA, internal transcribed spacer 2, and large subunit ribosomal RNA
Rfam family: 5.8S ribosomal RNA (bases 1-121)
Source: RNAcentral